This 253-nucleotide ribosomal RNA is filed under the name uncultured bacterium. RNAcentral's name for it is "partial 16S ribosomal RNA". It matches the Rfam family "Bacterial small subunit ribosomal RNA", at positions 524 to 776 of the family's 1533-position model. The record is from RNAcentral.
UACGAAGGGGGCUAGCGUUGCUCGGAAUCACUAGGCGUAAAGCGCACGUAGGCGGCUUUUUAAGUCAGGGGUGAAAUCCUGGAGCUCAACUCCAGAACUGCCUUUGAUACUGAGAAGCUUGAGUCCGGGAGAGGUGAGUGGAACUGCGAGUGUAGAGGUGAAAUUCGUAGAUAUUCGCAAGAACACCAGUGGCGAAGGCGGCUCACUGGCCCGGUACUGACGCUGAGGUGCGAAAGCGUGGGGAGCAAACAGG